GACGAACGCUGGCGGCGUGCUUAACACAUGCAAGUCGAACGAAGAGCGACGGAAGCUUGCUUCUAUCAAUCUUAGUGGCGAACGGGUGAGUAACGCGUAAUCAACCUGCCCUUCAGAGGGGGACAACAGUUGGAAACGACUGCUAAUACCGCAUACGAUCUAAUCUCGGCAUCGAGGAUAGAUGAAAGGUGGCCUCUACAUGUAAGCUAUCACUGAAGGAGGGGAUUGCGUCUGAUUAGCUAGUUGGAGGGGUAACGGCCCACCAAGGCGAUGAUCAGUAGCCGGUCUGAGAGGAUGAACGGCCACAUUGGGACUGAGACACGGCCCAGACUCCUACGGGAGGCAGCAGUGGGGAAUCUUCCGCAAUGGACGAAAGUCUGACGGAGCAACGCCGCGUGAGUGAUGACGGCCUUCGGGUUGUAAAGCUCUGUUAAUCGGGACGAAAGGCCUUCUUGCGAAUAGUGAGAAGGAUUGACGGUACCGGAAUAGAAAGCCACGGCUAACUACGUGCCAGCCGCCGCG
RNAcentral lists this ribosomal RNA (522 nucleotides) under uncultured bacterium. Its description in RNAcentral is "bacterial SSU rRNA". It matches the Rfam family "Bacterial small subunit ribosomal RNA", at positions 28 to 519 of the family's 1533-position model. The record is from RNAcentral.